GACGAACGCUGGCGGCGUGCUUAACACAUGCAAGUCGAACGGAAAGGCCCUGCUUUUGUGGGGUGCUCGAGUGGCGAACGGGUGAGUAACACGUGAGUAACCUGCCCUUGACUUUGGGAUAACUUCAGGAAACUGGGGCUAAUACCGGAUAGGAGCUCCUGCUGCAUGGUGGGGGUUGGAAAGUUUCGGCGGUUGGGGAUGGACUCGCGGCUUAUCAGCUUGUUGGUGGGGUAGUGGCUUACCAAGGCUUUGACGGGUAGCCGGCCUGAGAGGGUGACCGGCCACAGUGGGACUGAGAUACGGCCGAGACUCCUACGGGAGGGAGCAGUGGGGAAUAGUGCACAAUGGGCGGAAGCCUGAUGCAGCAACGCCGCGUGCGGGAUGACGGCCUUCGGGUUGUAAACCGCUUUCGCCUGUGACGAAGCGUGAGUGACGGUAAUGGGUAAAGAAGCACCGGCUAACUACGUG
This 468-nucleotide ribosomal RNA is filed under the name uncultured bacterium. RNAcentral describes it as "partial 16S ribosomal RNA". It matches the Rfam family "Bacterial small subunit ribosomal RNA", at positions 28 to 507 of the family's 1533-position model. The record is from RNAcentral.